Long non-coding RNA from Neopsephotus bourkii (Bourke's parrot), 2867 nucleotides. RefSeq lists it as uncharacterized. The record is from RefSeq and is a predicted model, not a curated record. The transcript has 2 exons. NCBI's taxonomy places the organism in Eukaryota, Metazoa, Chordata, Aves, Psittaciformes, Psittacidae.
UCGUGCUGUGGUAUGGAAGAAACUACUAGAAAGAAAAUUAACUGUUAAGCUGAAACCAGCAGAGCAGUGUAAUUUUAAUUACCAUUUCUCAAGCAAUACAUAAAAAGAGUAUAAUAAAAUUUUCCAUUGCACGUUGAUUAGCUAGAAGAAAUGUCAGGUAGGCAAAUUGGUGCAAUUCUUACUAAAAGCUGAUUCUGAAUAAUAUUCAAAGCAUCAUGUAACAGAAGGCUUUUGUGUCAGUGUAUAUAAAAUUGACAGGAUCGUUCCAUUGUCUGGUAAGUCAGUAAGUGGCAAGGGGCAACCAGCUAUGAUUUACAUUUAAGCCGAAGUAUAUAUAUAUUCAUUCAGUAAGGUAUGUGAUACCUCUCCUUGUAUGCUUGUAGCUUGUAAUGUUAGUGGAAUUCUGUAAAGUGAUGCCCUGAUCAGCAAGGAACUGGGGGGUGCAUUUAAGUUUUAUCCUACUGAAACCAGUGCUGCUUAUAUGCUUUAAGGUGGUGCCCCUAAAGUAUCUUGCUGAAAUGGCAGUUGGCACAUUAACAUAUGCUCCAAUUCAGUUGUUUAUUUGUCUGUAUCUUCAUGUUAUCAUACAAUAGAUCAUUGAGAGCAGUUCCAUAAAUGUGAUAAUGUGGAAGGUACUGCUACCUUAAAGGGUUUUUUUUUUUUUGUAACAUAAUGUUAAUCGACUCCUUCAUCACAGUAUUACAUGUAAAUAUUCAGUAAAUGUUAUUGAUACACUGUCUUUUAUUUAAAUUCAGGAUGUACAGUAAAUGGUGUUUUUGACAUAGAUGAUUAAAGGAAUUCAUAUCACUACUGUUUGCAAGUUUAUCGUAAGAUCAUUUAGCUUCAACAGUUGGUUUGUUAUUAGAAUUUACUCUAAAAGUGUACUUUAUUGGCAUUUAAAACUGAGCAGUGAUGACUUCUGUUGCUGCAGUUUUGAUCUCAGAGGUUGCCUACCCAGGGGAUUUAUUCCAUAGUAAAUGUGUGAAUUCAGCUGUUGUAAGCAAGUGUCUCCCGGACUGUUGGCGUGUGAAGUUGCUGUACAUUUACAGCCUACUUUUCUGCAUAGUUAUUCAUGCAGAUGAAUUGUCAGAAUAAACUACUUACUACUUACUGCCCAGUGGUUUUUCUUAGAAUUUGUCUCAAUUUCUGGUCAAUUACAGAUGCUGUUGUGAAAUCCUUUCUGUGCUGUAUAAAGCCAAUGUUUGGUGGAACCAAGGUUCUAAAGACUAACGAGGGAACACUAAAUGCUAAAGAAGAAACUGAACUUUUUCAGUUUAAUGUGAAUCAUGCUAUUGCUUGACAUUUUCACUUGAGUUGUAUUUCACUGUGUAGAUGGGAUCACACUAUGUCAUUGGAAAACCUAUUGUGUUUCAGCCACAGACUGUGUUCCCAUCACAGUGGCUAAAAGCCUUAAGACUUUAAAAAGGUCAAAACCAAGGUCCUUUCCUUUUGCAAAACCUUAGUGGUUUGUUUUUUGGUUUUUUUUAACCUGUUCCUUCUGUGUUUAUGUUCAGCUGCCAAUGGCCUCAAGCGGCUUCCUACCCCACAAGGACUAAGGGUGGUGAGGAAUAAGGAAGGCCUUGUGGAAAAAGAUAAAAAAGCACUGUGUUGUGGAAUACUCUACUAGCCUACAUUUUUAGGGAAUCCAGCAAGUGAUCCAAGGGAUAGCUGUAAUAUUUUCAUAGGAAGAAAGUGACUACCAUGAAAUGAACCAGGACAGGCAGGUGUAGCUUUGAUUUUACUUGCAAGGAGUUUUGAGCUGUUAGGUGACCUGUCUAUCUUUUGAACUGUUUUGCGAUACGUGCAUGCCAUCACUAAAUGUCUCUCGCCAUUUGAUAAUAAAGCUAUUACAUAAAACAUGGAACAUUGUAUCUUUUAGUACAAUGAAGCAUACUAAACUUCACAUUAAGCUUAUCUUUAUUAUUGACCUGUUUAAAAGGGAUGAAUUCUUAAAUGGUGUUUUUAAUGACUGAUUAAAAAUUAAACUGAAGCUGUUUACAUCUGUAGAUGAGAUUAAUUUUGUUUCUACCUCUAUUUCAGAAUAUGUAGAUACACUUGACUUUUUUGUCUAAUUUCUCACAACAGUAAUUUUGAAAAGUUUUUGUAUUUUGCACUGAAAGGCGUAAUUUGCUUUUUUAUGGAUUCUUGAUGAAAGGCUCAUGUGCUGAACUUAUAAUGCAUCUUCCCUUUAUAUUCUGUUCUUUCCAGUUUAUGAAAUUCUCCCUUUGUGCCUUGUAUAGAAAAUUGAUGCUGAAAGCUUGCCAAAAGUUUAAGAAAACAGAAGUAAAAGUUAAAAGUAUACAAGGAAGAAUUUGGGUUUGGAUUAUGACAGCUAAAUCAAUGACUGGUGUAUAACUAUGCAAGAGGCUUGUAAAAACUUCUUUCUGUAGAUGGUCUUCAAAGCACAGAAAAUUCUGCUUCUGCACACCUCUAGGACUCCAAUAUCAUCCUCAUAGUCUCAGGUCAGCAGGCUCUGGAGAGGAGUGGGAGUGCCACAGUGGAAUAUACCUUUUAAAAUCUUGUAUUGUAACUAAGAUGUAAUGUUAUGGGAAUAAAUUCUGAUUUUUCUUUCACACUUGCCCUUGAGCAGUUGUAUCCAGUAAUUUGGAAUUUGCAGUGUUUACUGUACUUGGAAAAAUUCUAUGCCGUGAAAAGGUGCUUUGAGCAAAUAACAAUUCCACAGACUUUCUCAACAUCAUAAAUAAUACUUAGAAGAAUUCAUAAUGUAGUUUAGUGUUGUGGCCUUACUCAAGAACAUCUAAGCAAUUCACAGUUUACUGACAAAAUUGCCAUAUUUUGGGUGUUUCCUGUGAUGGAAAUGUUGCUCAAGAAGACUGACAGAUUAAAGCUACUAGCCUUUGAAUUAG